UCUAAAAUUAAAUCAAAUCUUGAGAGAAAGAAAUAUGAACAUCCAGUUUUUCUUCAUGAAGUAUCACAUCACCCAGGUGUAAGACCUGUAGACGAUGACAUAGGAAAAAGUCUUCAAGACCUAGGGCUUGGUGAAAAGUUCUUAGAAGUGGCACCAAAAGCACGAUCUAUAAAAGAAAAUAAUAAUAAAUUGGAUGUCAUCAAAAUUAAAAACUUUUGCUCUCGGAAAAUCCUGUUAAGAGGGUGAAGACACCAGGUACAGAAGAGGGAAAUCAGCACAUGCAAUGAAAUCGCCUAGAAUUAUGCACACACCGCACCAAUGUCAAUUUCAUGACUUCCAUAUUGUAGUGUAAUGAUGUACCAUGUGACCAUUGGGGUAACCAUGACAUUCGAGGACGUGGCCUUGUAUUUUUCAAAGCAAGAGUGGGAGCUCCUAGAGAAGUGGCAGAAGGAAAUGUAUCAACAAGUGAUGAAGAGACCAAUUAUGAGACCCUGGAUUCCCUGGGUCACCCAGGAAGUCCCAGGGCCGAAGAAGAGGAAUGCCAUUUAAACAGUGUCCAGGCGCGGGGCUCACGUGCUCCCUCACCAGGGGAGGAAACCACAGCUUUACCGGGUCAAGGAGCCGCCUUGCAAUGUCGCUGAGACAUGGAGACUCCACGUACAAACCCUAAUGUCACAGCAUCUCCCCGGGAAAAGAUGGACCCAGGGCAUGAGGCAGGGGGUCCCCGGGGGCACCUGGAAGUCCCCCCAGGGCCAAGAUCCCAUUCCUGCUUCGUCUGCAGGAAGGUCUUCCCCAUCAAGAGAGACCUGGUAGAGCACAGAAGGAGCCACCCCAGGAGCCAGCCCCGUGAGUCCCCUCAGCACAAGGGCCAGGCCGGAAGGAACGCCGACCUCCCGUGGGCCUGGAGGAGCCCAGGUGAGAAGUAGCACCUCCAGGGCGGCGAGAGCGAGAGGAGCUACCACGGGAAGCGCAGCCUCAUCGCCCACCAGGCUGCUCCCACAGGGCGGCGGCCCUUCCAGUGCCCUGAAUGUGCCAAGACCUUUCGGCGCAAAGCCACUUGAGAGAAACAUCAGUGUUUGUGCAAAGGAGAGAGGCCACUUUCCUGCCAGCGGUGCGGCGAGGGCUUGGCCCAGCAGCACAGGCUCGCUGAGCACGGCGGGGUGCAUGGCGGGGAGAAGCCCUUCUG
Molecule: long non-coding RNA, 1186 nt
Organism: Phyllostomus discolor (pale spear-nosed bat)
Lineage: Eukaryota; Metazoa; Chordata; Mammalia; Chiroptera; Phyllostomidae
Exons: 3
Source: RefSeq, a predicted model, not a curated record